This 73-nucleotide transfer RNA is filed under the name Chromobacterium violaceum. Its description in RNAcentral is "tRNA-Ile". It matches the Rfam family "tRNA". From Rfam's summary of the family: Transfer RNA (tRNA) molecules are approximately 80 nucleotides in length. Their secondary structure includes four short double-helical elements and three loops (D, anti-codon, and T loops). Further hydrogen bonds mediate the characteristic L-shaped molecular structure. tRNAs have two regions of fundamental functional importance: the anti-codon, which is responsible for specific mRNA codon recognition, and the 3' end, to which the tRNAs corresponding amino acid is attached (by aminoacyl-tRNA synthetases). tRNAs cope with the degeneracy of the genetic code in two manners: having more than one tRNA (with a specific anti-codon) for a particular amino acid; and 'wobble' base-pairing, i.e. permitting non-standard base-pairing at the 3rd anti-codon position. The record is from RNAcentral. Lineage: Bacteria; Pseudomonadati; Pseudomonadota; Betaproteobacteria; Neisseriales; Chromobacteriaceae.
CAGCCUAUCGGUUAUUGGUUAGAGCACUGUGUUGAUAACGCAGGGGUCGUAGGUUCGAGUCCUACCAGACUGG